Molecule: long non-coding RNA, 1712 nt
Organism: Homo sapiens (human)
Lineage: Eukaryota; Metazoa; Chordata; Mammalia; Primates; Hominidae
Product: long intergenic non-protein coding RNA 1287
Source: Ensembl
GCUCCCCUAAGGAAUUGCUAGAACAAGGAGACAAAAAGACAAAAACAAACAAUAAAAACACAAACACACAUUGAGGACAUAAACAUCUUGAACAACACUAUACCUUAGCUGACUUCAUUGACACAUAUAGAACACUCCAGCAGUGUACUAAACAUUCUUUUCACAUGUAACGAGAACAUUUAUAAAAGGAGACUAUAUUAAGGGGUGUUUACUGAGUAUCAAUACCUUUAUAAGCAGGAAUCAGCAAGCUACAGCCCAGUGGCCAAAUCCAGCCCACCACCCACUGCUGUAAUAAAGCUUUGCUGGAGCACAGCCAUGCAUGUUAUUUGUGCAUUAUCUAUGGCUGCUUUUGUACUACAAUGACAGAGCUAAGUAGUGGCUACAAAGAAUAUGAAUGGGCCCACAAAGCCUACACUCUCUCUACCUUCUGGCACUUUACAGAAAAAGUUUACUGACAGCUGGGCACAGUGGCCCAGACCUGUAAUCCCAGUACUUUGGGAAGCUGAGGAGGGAGGAUCACUUCAGACCAAGAGUUCGAGAUCAGCCUGGGCAACAUGGCAAAACCCCGUCUCUACUAAAAACACAAAAAUUAGCCAGGCUUAGUGGUGCUCACCUGUGGUCUCAACUACUCGGGAGGUUGAGGCACAAGAAUCACUUGAGCCUGCUAGGCAGAGGUUGCAGUGAGCCAUGAUUGUGCCACUGCACACCAGCCUGGAUUUUUAAAUCCUGCCAGAAAAAGUUGGCACAACUCAGUAACUAAUCAACAAAUAAAAAUUACAAAUAGUCAUUUUAUCAUAUUAAGAAUAUUUAUCCCUUGCAAAGUUAUAUUAUGUGGGAUCCCAUUUCAGAGACAAAUGAAGACACUCGACCAUCUCUAAAUGCUACCAAACACAUAGAGUCUACUCUGAAUGCAGAUACUGCUCUCAUAAAAAUUCUGCAAAGGAGGAAGGGGUUGGUGCAGAACUGUUCCGAUGCUGAUCAACUGAGAUGCAAAACCCAUGUUCACAUCAUGAGUGAGUCUUCUAACUCGGACAAUGCAAUCAACAAAUUCUAAGACCAAAUUCCGGUGGCACUGGCUCCAAAGCUCCUGAGUGUGGAAGGAGGUGAACAGGGAAAAGCAGAGAGGACAAAAGUCACAUCCCCUCCCCACAGACCCAUACUGGGGAAGGGUGGAAGAUUUAGCUGCGAGUCAAGUUCAGAAUUUUGAUUAACAUCUUGGCAUGCACAUUCGAAUUUCAGAAUCAAGACUGUUGGCCAUAAAAAAUGACUAUAGCCUUGUGUAUUACCUGAACUGAGCAGUAAAAAAAAAGUCAUGGUCCUUCUGGGGCUUUUAUUCUGAGACAGGAACCCUGAACAGGCAGGAGAAAGGGAAUGUUGACAGAGAAACAAAGACAGUUGGCGACACACGCUGACCGCCAUGCGGACGUCCAUCAAACCCAGCACUGGCCCUGGGUACGUGCGCCUUUGCUAUUACCCCAAUACAUUUUCUUCUGCAGAGCAAGCAACAGAACACAUGCAGACCUUAAUAAAUACCACUGGGUAAUGUGACAAUGGCCAAACUCUCCUCACGGGGGAGAGAGUGUCCCCCAGUUUUGCUCCCUUUUAAUUUCCAGGGUUCAUAAGUAGCUCUAAAGCUUUGCUCUACAAGGUUGAUACAUACGAUAUUAAUGUUUCCCCUAAGCAGUAUAACAUAAAUAUAUUUGCUAUCUUGA